GUGUCUUCUAUUAAUUUUCAUUUCAUUACAUUUUAUUUUUUUCUUUCUUAUUUUAAAUCACAUAAAUUUUUAUAAAAUAAUAUUGUACGUAAAUUAAUUUUAAUUUUAAUUUUAUUUUUUUAGCCACUCAUUUAAAAAAAAAAAACACUAUUUCACCAAUAUUUAUUUCUACAAAAUGGGGCAAACCGGGGGCUAAAUUUUGCUUCGAUUGUAUUAAAAGCUUCAAAGGUCCACCGCUAUACUAUCAUCUCUUAUCUCCUCAACUACCUCCAUCAACCGCGAGAUGGAAGCGACGCCGCUGCUUGAUCGGAGCUCCGACAACAAGGUACAGGUCAUCGGAGAGAACGGUGACUACCUGCCGAUAAGGGGGCUUAGUGCAUGGUGGAGUGUUUUCUGUAUAGAGACAGUGAAGCUAUGGAGAAUAGGCGGCCCCAUAGUGUUUCAAGUUCUUUGUCAGUAUGGAACUUACUCCGUCACCAACAUGUUUGUUGGCCAUCUUGGAGAUAUCGAACUCUCUGCCUUUUCCAUCACUCUUUCCGUUAUCUGCACCUUCUCUUUUGGCCUCCUGGUUAGCCCCUUCACACCACCGCCACCGCCACCACCACCGCCACCUAUUAUAUCUCAAUUUUGGUUUUAAAUUAAAAAAUUACGAAUAAUUUAUUUGUCAUUGACGAAUGUCCGUCUACAUACUUAAUAAUUUUUCACAUUAAAUGCACGAAAUCUGGGUGGUUCAUUUUCUAUCAUUAUAUUAGUCUUUGGAUUGGGUAGCAUAAUAGUCAGAUUUAUCGCUCCAGCUAGCUAGACAUGUUGCUAGAAAAAUGAUUGUUGGCAAUGAAUUUGAAAUAAAUUCCGUAACUGCGUUGGCAGAUACAUUAUGAAACUUUAAUGCCAUUUAGCCCCACUUGGUUUGCUAUCCCAGUUCAAGCAGCUUUAAUUAAAUGACUCAUUUAAUUUUACUUUUCCUUUAGCCUUAUCUUCUAGCACUACUUAGACUGGAUUGCAACCUCAAUGGCUACAUAGCAUUACUCUUCUUGAAAACUGAUAUUCUUUAAGAUACAAGUCUGAAAGGAUUUUGUAUAAGUUCCUUGUAAUUGUGUAAUCUGUUUUAUUUAAGAUACGUACAAGUCUAACUAAUUAGUCUAGUUCAUCCUAAAUAAUCUUGAAGCCGAAGAUCUGAUUAAAAAAACGUUUCAAACCCCUUAAAUGAAACAAUUCAAGUUUUCUGAAUUUGUUCUUGUGACAUAGACAAUACAUUUCGUAGGAUUCAAGACUACUACUACCAAUUUACUGUUUACACAUUAUGUAGGAUCCACAAUUUAUAAUCACUUAGAUCUAAUUUGAGCACUCCCAAGUAUGGUUAAACAGCGAUCUAAUAUGACUUCACAAAUGGCACCUUAUUUUGCUAUGUCUAGUUCGGUAUGGGGAGUGCCCUUGAGACGCUAUGCGGUCAGGCAUUUGGUGCUGGACAAAUUCACAUGCUUGGUAUUUACAUGCAACGCUCGAUAGUGAUCCUAACCAUCACUUGUGUCGUCCUGUUGCCACUAUACUUGUUUGCGACCCCAAUUCUGAAGCUACUUGGACAGGAGGAUGAUAUAGCAAAUCUUGCAGGGGUAUAUACGCUUCAGGUUAUCCCUCAAUUAUUUUCCCUUGCCAUCAGUUUCCCGGCUCAGAAGUUUCUUCAAGCCCAGAGUAAAGUUGCCGCUCUUGCGUGGAUAUCAUUUUCUGUAUUGGCUGCACAAGUUUUUCUAUGUUGGCUUUUUAUUCAAGCAUUUGGCUGGGGAGGAGCUGGUGCGGCUGCAGCAUUGGACCUUGCGAGUUGGCUUAUGGCCUUAGCACAAUUUGGUUAUGUGGUUGGUUGGUGCAAGGAUGGUUGGAAGGGAUUCUCAUGGUUCGCAUUUAGGGAUUUAUGGGCCUUCGUGAGACUCUCCCUUGAAUCUGCCGUCAUGCUAUGCCUCGAGGUGUGGUAUAUGAUGAGCAUCGUUGUACUUGCUGGACAUCUUGGCAAUGCCGUAACUGCAGUUGGUUCCCUUUCUAUUUGGUGAGCUUAAAUCAUAUUUUACAUCCUUCUAUAUAUCGUAGUGAUUUAAAAAUUGUGGAUUUCAUAUUUUGUGAGCUUUGUAAAAUGAGCUAUCAAUUUAAGUUAUUCAUCACUUUGAUAGCUUAUUUAUCAUUAAUAAUUCAAGGCAUAUAAAUCUACGAGAUCUAUCAUUGUUAUUUGACAAGUCACUUGAAUUUGUACUAAUCAUUUACCAUUUCAUCGUUUGUGAAAUUGUAAUCUUAUGUACUCCAAGCCUUAUCUUUUGUAUUAUCAUUUUCUUUUAAGAUGCUAAUAUUUUCUUUUGGUCAGCACGAGCAUUAAUGGGUGGGAAUCCAUGGCAUUCAUGGGAGUUAAUGCNGCUAUAAGGUAAAAGGCCAAAUGACGCUUAUCGAUACUUUUUUUACUUUGUUUUAAAUAAGCUAGAUUAUAACUUGAAUCGAAUGCAGUCGUCUUCUAGUAAUUUCCAUCCAUCGCCCUGUGCAUCUAUAUUGCCAGCACACAGAUACAUUUUUCACUUAAGAACAAUUUCUUCGAAAAAACAUUGUGCCCGGGAAAUGUUGUAUGUCCAAAUUAAUGGAACCUUAUGGAAAAUCGAAUUCAGCGUGCUUAAUGAAAAUUCAUUAAUAUUUCUUGGUCCUAAUUGAUUGAAGUAUCCAGGCAGGUUAGAGGACUAUUUGUGUUUAUCACGUUCAUAUGGUCAAAUGAUAUCUGUUAGUGAAUAGCUCUGCUUUUAACACUAGUUUGAUAAGUGAUUACAUAGCAUGAACUGCGAUUUAAGGUUAUCUUCCAACACAAAUUCAACUCAAAUGCUCCUCAUAAUAAAUUGCUGGAGGGUUCAUAAGUUUUAGAUCAUUCUAUUGUUUAUCGGGUUGCCAUAAGGGUUAAUGUUUUAUUUUUUUAUUACUAUUAUUAUUUUUUUAAAUUACUAGCCAUAUCAAUUUCAUGGUUCCAAUCUUUUAUGUUCCAGUGUUCGUGUCUCAAAUGAGCUUGGCUUAGGACGUCCAAGAGCAACCAAAUAUUGUGUCUAUGUCACAGUCUUUCAGUCACUCCUGAUUGGGAUUAUUUGCAUGAUUAUCGUCCUCGCUACAAGAAAUUAUUUAGGUCUUAUUUAUACAAAUAGCGAGAAUUUGAUACGUGCAGUUGCUCACCUUUCCGGCCUUCUUGGAAUUACAAUGCUUCUCAAUAGUGUCCAACCCGUGAUAUCAGGUACUGGUUAUUCGAUUUAAGUAUUUGUCUAUGCAAAUCAAAAUGGCUUUUUCAUCAUGUUUCCUUGAUCUUCCGGCUUAAUUAUGCAGGUGUUGCCAUUGGAGGUGGGUGGCAAGCUCUAGUGGCUUACAUCAAUUUGGGUUGUUACUACAUUUUUGGUCUUCCCCUCGGUUAUGUUCUUGGCUAUGUCGGUAAUUUUGGAGUGAUGGUAAGUAAAUUUUUACUUGAACCUCCAUAUUAUGCGAAUUUGCAUUUUAAACGAUUCUGGAUAUAA
RNAcentral lists this long non-coding RNA (3518 nucleotides) under Olea europaea subsp. europaea. The record is from RNAcentral. Lineage: Eukaryota; Viridiplantae; Streptophyta; Magnoliopsida; Lamiales; Oleaceae.